GGUCCCCCAAGGACCCACGUCCAGGAGCCAACAGCCUCUCUGUGCAAACCAGACAACCCUGCAGGAACUGUGCUUGAAGAAACCGUGGAAACUGCCCCCAACCCUCCCGUCUCUAUUUCUUUCUCUGUUUUAUUAUCUCAUUCUUGGCUGUGAGGUAAACAGGAGAAAAUGAGAAGGUGGUUCUGGAGGACCCGACCGAAUUUGCUUUCGUGACAGGGUCAAGCGCCCUUUCCUCGCCGGCCGCAGCCCUCACCAAAGGGGAUUUGGGGGCCUCCGGACAGGGGUCCUGAAGGUUUUGAAUUGUUCAAUCUCUGGGGGUACAGGAACCCCUGCAGGAGGUUUCAAAGGCAAGAGUUUCGCAGAGAGAAAAAAACCAUGAACUUUGCAGGUUGGUGGCGGAAUCUGGUGAUUUAAGAAAACGUGUUUAAGCCUCGGCCGGGCCGCGCCUGGGCUGUCUGCGGUGCUCUUCCGGAAUUCUCUACAAUAUCUGGAAGUGACCAAGAAAAUUCCAGAACCCGGAGGCUGCGCCGUGGAGAUAAACAUGGGCACCUGGCCGGGCCUGGUGGCUCACGCCUGUGAUACCAGCACUUUGGGAGGCUGAGGUGGGCAGAUCAUGAGGUCAGGAGUUCGAGACCAGCCUGGCCAACCUAGUGAACCCUCAUCUCUACUAAAACUACAAAAAAUUAGCCAGGUGUGGUGGCGGGCGCCUGUAAUCCCAGCUACUUGGGAGGCUGAGGCAGGAGAAUCGCUUGAACCUGGGAGGCGGAGGUUGCAGUGAGCCAAGAUUGCACCACUGCUCUCCAGCCUGGCAACAAAGGAAGACUCCAUCUCAAAAAAAAAAAAGAAUAAAAAGAAUACAAAAAG
RNAcentral lists this long non-coding RNA (864 nucleotides) under Homo sapiens (human). RNAcentral's name for it is "HSALNT0395539". Lineage: Eukaryota; Metazoa; Chordata; Mammalia; Primates; Hominidae. The record is from RNAcentral.